Molecule: long non-coding RNA, 596 nt
Filed under: Lingula anatina
Lineage: Eukaryota; Metazoa; Brachiopoda; Lingulata; Lingulida; Lingulidae
Description: uncharacterized LOC106158490, transcript variant X2
Source: RNAcentral
CAAAUACCGGAAGUAAGCCGCAAAGCAGGCAAAAGUGCUUGGUUAUGAUUCUUAGUUGUGGCUCAUCCUGAAAGAUGCUCAGUCCAGAUAAAUUAAAAGAAGUCAUCCAGGUAUGGUGGAGGGUGAUACUGGUGCUCAGAGAUGGUCACAUAUCUGCAGUGCCACACAACAGCUGUAUGCGUGGAUCUUAGUGUAGAUGGCAGUUAGAUGCAAGACGGACAGUGAUGGCCAACGCACUCUCGCAUCUACAUUGCUGACAGAGAACGUGGUCAUCUCUCAGCAGCAGACAUUAUUUAAUUGUGAGAUGUAGGAAUAUUCCUUCAUGCUUCCAUUAGAGGCAAAGCAAGAACCACCACUAGAUGGAGCUGCUGUCUCCAGUUCCAGCCAGACCUUUUACUGUGGGUGUUGAGACAGGCAGACGACAUGCCCCAAGACAUGUGACAGCAAUUGCCCUGUACAUUAAAAACAAAGCUGCGUGGAGGAAGUGCUUGUCCAAACAUGACGUAGGAUGAAAUCAAGAAAGCACUCGUCCAAUGUUUAACUUGAUAGAUGUCGGAAGGCUGCUGGCAUUAUGGUCAGUGACGUUCUUUUCAUGU